Kwoniella botswanensis is the source of this 106-nucleotide non-coding RNA. Lineage: Eukaryota; Fungi; Basidiomycota; Tremellomycetes; Tremellales; Cryptococcaceae. The record is from the annotation of a RefSeq genome assembly.
GCUCCCUUCGCUUAGUCGGUUAAAGCGAAGGUCUCAUAUCUUACGAAGAGCUGAGCCCCGAUUGGGGUGUAAUCCUUAGCCCUGAGUUCGAUUCUCAGAGGGAGCA